AUUGAACGCUGGCGGCAGGCUUAACACAUGCAAGUCGAGCGGGGUGAUGGUGCUUGCACUAUCACUUAGCGGCGGACGGGUGAGUAAUGCUUAGGAAUCUGCCUAUUAGUGGGGGACAACAUCUCGAAAGGGAUGCUAAUACCGCAUACGUCCUACGGGAGAAAGCAGGGGAUCACUUGUGACCUUGCGCUAAUAGAUGAGCCUAAGUCGGAUUAGCUAGUUGGUGGGGUAGAGGCCUACCAAGGCGACGAUCUGUAGCGGGUCUGAGAGGAUGAUCCGCCACACUGGGACUGAGACACGGCCCAGACUCCUACGGGAGGCAGCAGUGGGGAAUAUUGGACAAUGGGGGGAACCCUGAUCCAGCCAUGCCGCGUGUGUGAAGAAGGCCUUAUGGUUGUAAGGCACUUUAAGCGAGGAGGAGGCUCUUUUGGUUAAUACCCAAGAUGAGUGGACGUUACUCGCAGAAUAAGCACCGGCUAACUCUGUGCCAGCCGCCGCAGUAA
Molecule: ribosomal RNA, 503 nt
Filed under: uncultured bacterium
Lineage: Bacteria
Description: partial 16S ribosomal RNA
Rfam family: Bacterial small subunit ribosomal RNA
Source: RNAcentral